Molecule: ribosomal RNA, 254 nt
Filed under: uncultured bacterium
Lineage: Bacteria
Description: partial 16S ribosomal RNA
Rfam family: Bacterial small subunit ribosomal RNA
Source: RNAcentral
UACGUAGGGAGCAAGCGUUGUCCGGAUUUAUUGGGCGUAAAGAGCUCGUAGGCGGUUUAGAAAGUCAGGUGUGAAACCUCCAGGCUCAACCUGGAGACGCCACUUGAUACUUCUAUGACUUGAGUUCGGUAGGGGUAAGCGGAAUUCCUGGUGUAGCGGUGAAAUGCGCAGAUAUCAGGAGGAACACCAGUGGCGAAGGCGCUCUGCUAGGCCGUAACUGACACUGAGGGACGAAAGCUAGGGGAGCGAAUGGG